Molecule: unclassified non-coding RNA, 336 nt
Filed under: soil metagenome
Description: partial contains 5.8S ribosomal RNA, internal transcribed spacer 2, and large subunit ribosomal RNA
Rfam family: 5.8S ribosomal RNA (bases 1-120)
Source: RNAcentral
GAUGAAGAACGCAGCGAAAUGCGAUAAGUAGUGUGAAUUGCAGAAUUCAGUGAAUCAUCGAAUCUUUGAACGCACAUUGCGCCCCUUGGUAUUCCAUGGGGCAUGCCUGUUCGAGCGUCAUUUGUACCUUCAAGCUCUGCUUGGUGUUGGGUGUUUGUCUCGCCUCUGCGCGUAGACUCGCCUCAAAACAAUUGGCAGCCGGCGUAUUGAUUUCGGAGCGCAGUACAUCUCGCGCUUUGCACUCAUAACGACGACGUCCAAAAGUACAUUUUUACACUCUUGACCUCGGAUCAGGUAGGGAUACCCGCUGAACUUAAGCAUAUCAAUAAGCGGAGA